Arachis ipaensis is the source of this 289-nucleotide non-coding RNA. The record is from RefSeq and is a predicted model, not a curated record. NCBI's taxonomy places the organism in Eukaryota, Viridiplantae, Streptophyta, Magnoliopsida, Fabales, Fabaceae.
GGUUCUAGGGAUGGCAGCAUUUAUGCAUGAAGUGUUCGAAGUGGUAAAGAGGUUGGUAGCUGGAGGAGUGCAACUGCUGAUACUGGACCACCGGUGAUAAAAUGGGCACCAGGAAGUCUCAUGUUCGCAACCGGAUCUUCUGAGCUAUCAUUUUGGGUCCCAGAUUUGUCUAAGUUGGGAUCUUAUGUUGGAAGAAAGUAAAAGCCAUACAUGAUGGAGGUUCUGUUUGCCCCACAACUCACUGAAAGAUACUAGACUAUGAUGGGGGGUAACAAAUAAGGGUGAGUUU